GACGAACGCUGGCGGCGUGCUUAACACAUGCAAGUCGAACGGGCCUGUCUUCUUUUUUGGGGGUGGGUUGAGUGGCGAACGGGGGAGUAUCACGUGAGUAACCUGCCCUUCGGUCCUGGAUAACCGCUUGAAAGGGCGGCUAAUACGGGGUGGUCCGGUUGGUCCGCAUGGGCUGGUCGGGAUAGAUUCACUGUUUUUGGUGUUUCGGCGGGGGCUGGGGUCGCGGCCUAUCAGCUUGUUGGUGGGGUGAUGGCCUACCAAGGCGGUGACGGGUAGCCGGGCUGGGGGGGUGGGCGGCCAGACUGGGACUGAGGUACGGCCCAGUCUCCUGCGGGGGGCAGCAGUGGGGGGUAUUGCACGAUGGGCGGAAGCCGGAUGCAGCGACGUCGGGUGAGAGAGGGAGGCCUUCGGGUUGUGAACCUCUGUUUCCGGUGGUGAAGGCCCUGUCCGUGUGGUGGGGUUGACGGUAGCCGGUGAUGAAGCGCCGGCUAACUACGUG
RNAcentral lists this ribosomal RNA (499 nucleotides) under uncultured bacterium. RNAcentral's name for it is "partial 16S ribosomal RNA". It matches the Rfam family "Bacterial small subunit ribosomal RNA", at positions 28 to 507 of the family's 1533-position model. The record is from RNAcentral.